This is a small nuclear RNA of Oryctolagus cuniculus (rabbit), 180 nucleotides long. Its record names the gene U2. It matches the Rfam family "U2 spliceosomal RNA". From Rfam's summary of the family: U2 is a small nuclear RNA (snRNA) component of the spliceosome (involved in pre-mRNA splicing). Complementary binding between U2 snRNA (in an area lying towards the 5' end but 3' to hairpin I) and the branchpoint sequence (BPS) of the intron results the bulging out of an unpaired adenosine, on the BPS, which initiates a nucleophilic attack at the intronic 5' splice site, thus starting the first of two transesterification reactions that mediate splicing. The record is from Ensembl. Lineage: Eukaryota; Metazoa; Chordata; Mammalia; Lagomorpha; Leporidae.
AUCACUUCUCGGCCUUUUGGCUAAGAUCAAGUGUAGAAUUUUUUGCAUUAACACUAUGGGCAGUUGAUUUGCAAGUAUUAAAAUUGCAAUACUAUAGUAAUGAAUAACAGAAGUUCAAACUUCAGUUUCUUUAGUUUGGAUUUUCCCUGUUGCGUUUUAACAGCACAAGGAGUAGGUUUA